UGGAGGGUCAGCAGCGUGGAGUCCUGGCCUUUUGCGUCCACGGGUGGGAAAUUGGCCAUUGCCACGGCGGGAACUGGGACUCAGGCUGCCCCCCGGCCGUUUCUCAUCCGUCCACCGGACUCGUGGGCGCUCGCACUGGCGCUGAUGUAGUUUCCUGACCUCUGACCCGUAUUGUCUCCAGAUUAAAGGUACGACAUUUGGAGGCCCCAGCGAGAAACGUCACCGGGAGAAACGUCACCGGGCGAGAGCCGGGCCCGCUGUGUGCUCCCCCGGAAGGACAGCCAGCUUGUAGGGGGGAGUGCCACCUGAAAAAAAAAUUUCCAGGUCCCCAAAGGGUGACCGUCUUCCGGAGGACAGCGGAUCGACUACCAUGUGGGUGCCCACAAAAAUUCCACCUCUGAGUCCUCAACUGCUGACCCCGGGGUCAGUAGACACGGGGUUUCACCAUGUUGGCCAGGCCGGUCUUGAACUUGUGACGUCAGGUGAUGCACCCGCCUUGGCCUCCCAAAGUGCUGGGAUUACAGGUCCAGAUUUUGAACAAAUCUCGCUAGAGAUUGAACAGAGCUGCGCCUGGAUCCCGCCACAGUGAGGAGACCUGAAGACCAGAGAAAACACAGCAAACGGAGUCUUGCUCUGUUGUCCAGGCUGGAGUGUAGUGUGGCGAUCUCGGCUCCCUGCAAGAAUCUGCCUCCCAGAUUCACGCCAUUUUCCCACCUCAGCCCCUGGAGUAGCUGGAAGUACAGGCUCCCGCCACCACGCCUGGCUAAUUUUGUUUUUGUAUUUUUAGUAGAGACGGGGUUUCACUGUGUUAGGUAGGAUGGUCUCGAUCUCCUGACCUCAUGAUCCAUCCGCCUUGGCCUCUCAAAGUGCUGGGAUUACAGGCAUGAGCCACCGCACCUGGCUGUUUUUUCAUUUCUAUUAUGAUUUGUUCUGUGGAAUGUCAGUGACUUAGCGGUGUUUUUCACAUGUUUAUAAAGCUGAAUAGUUCUGUAUGUCAGCUCAGCACCCCUAGUGUCAGUCAUGCUACUCUCCUGCUGUGCAUAGAUGGGGGCCUGUCCACACCCAAAUCUCCUGGGUUCCCGCUGUCCGCACCUGAAGUCUUCCUAUGGCAACCAGUCUGGAGUGCAGUGGUGCAAUCUCAGCUCACUACAACCUCUGCCUUCCAGAUUCAAGUGAUUCUCCUGCCUCAGCCUCCCGAGUACCCGGGAUUACAGAUGUGCACCACCAUGCCUGGCUAAUUUUUGUCUUUUUAGUAGAGACAGUUUUUUGCCAUUUUGGCUAGGCUGGUCUUGAACUCCUGACCUCAAGUGAUCUGCCUGCCUCAGCUUCCCAAAGUGCUGGGAUUACAGGGGUGAGCCACUGUGCCCAACCUAGAAAGCUUAUUUUAUUUUAUUAUUAUAAUUAAUUUUAUUUUUUUGAGAUGGAGUCUCGCUCUGUUGCCCAGGCUGGAGUGCAGUGGCGCAAUCUCUGCUCACUGCAAGCUCCACCUCCCAGGUUCACGCCAUUCUCCUCCCUCAGCCUCCUGAGUAGCUGUGACUACAGGCGCCCGCCACCACACCUGGCUAAUUUUUUGUAUUUUUCAUGGAGACAGGGUUUCACCAUGUUAGCCAGGAUGGUCUCAAUUUCCUGACCUCGUGAUCCACCCGCCGUGGCCUCCCAAAGUGCUGGGAUUACAGGCGUGAGCCACCGCGCCUGGCCUAUAAUUAAUUUUUUUGAGAUGGAGUCUUACUCUGUCUCCCAGGCUGGAGUACAGUGGCACAUCUUGGACCCCUGCAACCUCUGCCUCCUGGGUUCAAGCAGUUCUCUCUACCUCAGCCUCUCCAGUAGCUGGGAUUACAGGUGCCCACCACCAUGCCCAGCUAAUUUUUGUAUUUUUAGUAGAGAUGGGGUUUCACCAUGUUGGCCAGGCUGGUCUCGAACCCCUGACCUCAGGUGAUACGCCCGCCUCGGCCUCCCAAAGUGUGAGAUUACAGGCAUCAGCCACUGCACCCGGCCAGAAAGCUUAUUUUAAAAGGCCCCUGGAUCCUCCUGGAAUCCCCGAUCCCUCUUGCUCCCUGGCAGAGUUUUCUAGUCCCUCUUACUUGAAGCAUGUCUUUCAGAGCCCGGCACCACCCAUCUUGAGUAUCUGCUACACCUCUAUGGUAUUUUUUUCACCUCAUAUCAUACCUUCCUCCCUCACUGGACUUCAGUGUGGGACCUGCAGGUCUCAGGCCUUCUGGGAAGUCCCAGCUUUUCUUGAAUGUUUUCUCUCUCUGGCCAGCUCAGGCUGGAGCAGUGGGUGUUGGUGCCAUCCUGUGGCUAUAGGUGAUAAGCCGGCUGUUCUUCACUGACCUGGUCUUACCUUGAACCCUGGAGUUCUCACAUGCAUGGAUUUAAAUGCUGUGUCUUUCUAAGGGCACAUUAUGGCCAUUUUCCUUAUCUCCCUCCCAAGGGGCUGUUUGCUGUGUUUAUUGACUCCCUGUUUAAAAAACAUAUAUAUAUAUAUAUAUAUAGACGAAUUAGGUUGUACCCCAUAAAUUGCAUGUUUGAAAAAUAUUUCAAAGAAUAGUUUAUUUUUUUUUGCUGAUUUUUAUGUAUCUUCUAAAUUGUAUAUAUUUAUGGGGUAUAAAAUGAUGUUGUGAU
Molecule: long non-coding RNA, 2622 nt
Filed under: Homo sapiens (human)
Lineage: Eukaryota; Metazoa; Chordata; Mammalia; Primates; Hominidae
Description: long intergenic non-protein coding RNA 665
Source: RNAcentral